UACGUAGGGUGCAAGCGUUAAUCGGAAUUACUGGGCGUAAAGCGUGCGCAGGCGGUUCUAUAAGACAGAUGUGAAAUCCCCGGGCUCAACCUGGAACUGCAUUUGUGACUGCAUAGCUAGAGUACGGUAGAGGGGGAUGGAAUUCCGCGUGUAGCAGUGAAAUGCGUAGAUAUGCGGAGGAACACCGAUGGCGAAGGCAAUCCCCUGGACCUGUACUGACGCUCAUGCACGAAAGCGUGGGGAGCAAACAGG
RNAcentral lists this ribosomal RNA (252 nucleotides) under uncultured bacterium. RNAcentral describes it as "partial 16S ribosomal RNA". It matches the Rfam family "Bacterial small subunit ribosomal RNA", at positions 524 to 776 of the family's 1533-position model. The record is from RNAcentral.